RNAcentral lists this ribosomal RNA (584 nucleotides) under uncultured bacterium. RNAcentral's name for it is "bacterial SSU rRNA". It matches the Rfam family "Bacterial small subunit ribosomal RNA", at positions 100 to 714 of the family's 1533-position model. The record is from RNAcentral.
GCACGGGUAGUAACACGUACUAACCUACCUUCGAGUGGGGAAUAACCUGGGGAAACCCGGGCUAAUACCGAUAAUACCUACGGGUCAAAGGAGCAAUUCGCUUAAGAGGGGGGUCGCGGCAGAUUAGUUAGUUGGCGGGGUAAUGGCCCACCAAGACGAUGAUCUUGUAUCCGGCCUGAGAGGGCGCACGGACACACCUGGAACUGAAACACGGUCCAGACUCCUACGGGAGGCAGCAGUGGGGAAUUUUGCGCAAUGGGGGAAACCCUAACGCAGCAACGCCGCGUUGAGGAUAAGUCCCUUGGGGACGUUAAACUUCCUUUCGACCGGGACGAUUUUGACCGGUACCGGAUGAAGAAGCCCCGGCUAACUUCGUGCCAGCAGCCGCGGUAAUACGAGGGGGGCGAGCGUUGUUCGGAAUUAUUGGGCGUAAAGGGUGCGUAGGCGGUUCCGCAAGUCUUAUGUGAAAUCUUCGGGCUCAACCCGAAGUCUGCAUAGGAAACUGUCGGGCUUGAGUAUGGGAGAGGUGAGUGGAAUUUCCGGUGUAGCAGUGAAAUGCGUAGAUAUCGGAAGGAACACCUGUU